RNAcentral lists this ribosomal RNA (273 nucleotides) under uncultured bacterium. RNAcentral describes it as "partial 16S ribosomal RNA". It matches the Rfam family "Bacterial small subunit ribosomal RNA", at positions 524 to 796 of the family's 1533-position model. The record is from RNAcentral.
UACGUAGGGUGCAAGCGUUGUCCGGAAUUAUUGGGCGUAAAGAGCUCGUAGGCGGUUCGUCACGUCGGCUGUGAAAACCUGAGGCUCAACCUCAGGCCUGCAGUCGAUACGGGCGGACUUGAGUACUGCAGGGGAGACUGGAAUUCCUGGUGUAGCGGUGAAAUGCGCAGAUAUCAGGAGGAACACCGGUGGCGAAGGCGGGUCUCUGGGCAGUAACUGACGCUGAGGAGCGAAAGCGUGGGGAGCGAACAGGAUUAGAAACCCCCGUAGUCC